UACAGAGGUCCCAAGCGUUGUUCGGAUUCACUGGGCGUAAAGGGUGCGUAGGUGGUGAGGUAAGUCGGAUGUGAAAGCUCGGAGCUCAACUCCGAAAUGGCAUUGGAAACUACCUUGCUCGAGGGUUGGAGGGGGGACUGGAAUACUUGGUGUAGCAGUGAAAUGCGUAGAUAUCAAGUGGAACACCAGUGGCGAAAGCGGCUUCCUGGUCCAGCACCGACGUCAGGCACGAAAGCGUGGGGAGCAAACAGG
RNAcentral lists this ribosomal RNA (252 nucleotides) under uncultured bacterium. RNAcentral's name for it is "partial 16S ribosomal RNA". It matches the Rfam family "Bacterial small subunit ribosomal RNA", at positions 524 to 776 of the family's 1533-position model. The record is from RNAcentral.